RNAcentral lists this ribosomal RNA (492 nucleotides) under uncultured bacterium. RNAcentral's name for it is "partial 16S ribosomal RNA". It matches the Rfam family "Bacterial small subunit ribosomal RNA", at positions 29 to 507 of the family's 1533-position model. The record is from RNAcentral.
AGUGAACGCUGGCGGCAUGCCUUACACAUGCAAGUCGAACGGUAACGGGCCUUGGGGUGGCGCCGAGGGGCGGACGGUGGCGUAAUACAGCGGAACGUGCCCGAACCUGGGGGUUAGCGGGGCGAAAGCUUGGCUAAUACCGGAUACGACCGCCUGCGACAAGCGGGUGACCGCAGGGCCUUUUCGGGCCUUGCGCGCUGGAGGCAGCCGAUGUCGGAUUAGCUAGUUGGUGGGAUAAAGGCCUACCAAGGCGACGAUCCGUAGCUGGUCUGAGAGGAUGAUCAGCCACACUGGAACUGAGACACGGUCCAGACUCCUACGGGAGGCAGCAGUGGGGAAUAUUGGACAAUGGGCGCAAGCCUGAUCCAGCCAUGCCGCGUGCAGGAUGAAGGCCUUCGGGUUGUAAACUGCUUUUGUACGGAAAGAAAAGCAUUCGUUUAAUACAGGAGGGUCAUGACGGUACCGUAAGAAUAAGCACCGGCUAACUACGUG